Molecule: long non-coding RNA, 627 nt
Organism: Micropterus dolomieu (smallmouth bass)
Lineage: Eukaryota; Metazoa; Chordata; Actinopteri; Centrarchiformes; Centrarchidae
Exons: 2
Source: RefSeq, a predicted model, not a curated record
UAAUCAAUCCCACAUCAUAGGUGAUGCAAAGGGAGGAGCAAUUCUGCUUACCUGGAAAUGUUCCCUGUUUGCAACUGAUCAGAACUAAGUGUUUGCACCAUGAAAUGAAAUAAUUGAAUUAAAGAAAUAACAGUGAAUGAAUAGUUACUGAUGACAUUUGUAGGAGCUGAUGACAAUGCGACCAACACGCUUUAACUAAUGACAAACUGAUGAUUUUGAGAUUUUGUGUUCUAAAUUGGAACCUACAUCGUCUUUUCUGAUUCUGGAAUAUGUCUGUGACUUAUAUAGUAAACAUCUAGAAUGGAAGAGGGAUGGCAAAUUUCAGCCUGGCAAUCGGUUUAAUGGGUGAACGAGAAAACAUCAUCAUUUAUCUCCAUCUGCUAAAUGCCACUACAAUUUUGCAAAAAGCAAUUAAAUCAACAUUUAGAAAGCCCAGUCAUUCGUCUCUCUGUAAAUAAACUCAGAAGGCAGUCUUGGUGGGAGACGUCGUUUCCUGUGCACUGCAGAUCGUUGGACAUGCCCGUCUCUGGCCCAGUUUCUGUUCCCCGGACCCUGCCAUCACUCGAGGAACAAUCAGCUGUUUUUGUGUGUAGAAAUGCAGUGCAUUAACACUCUGGAUCAUUUGAA